Molecule: small nucleolar RNA, 91 nt
Organism: Juglans microcarpa x Juglans regia
Lineage: Eukaryota; Viridiplantae; Streptophyta; Magnoliopsida; Fagales; Juglandaceae
Product: small nucleolar RNA snoR136
Exons: 1
Source: RefSeq, a predicted model, not a curated record
CUAGCCAAUCUUGAAUGAAGCUCAGAAAAUUGUUCUCCUCGCUAUCCAGUGCUUCCUUCAUGUUGCAUUAGGACAUCGGGGAACUAAAUUC